GCUUCAUCCUACUUUCCUGCGAAGUUUGACAUGCGCGUGAAGUAGCAGGUUUGUGGAUUCAAACCUACGCGAGGCUUUGAAUUUAGAAUCUUUGAGAUUUGAUCCCUACUUCACUGUAUAUCAGGUAAAGAUCUAAUCUUUAUUAAGCUAUUUAUAAAAAAUUUUUAGAUGCACCCUGGCUAUCUGCUGUGUUUUGAUAGAAACAAACUUUCUUUCUCUUCAAUUGGUAUCAGAAUCGGGUUUUAAUACAUGGAUGC
RNAcentral lists this long non-coding RNA (257 nucleotides) under Elaeis guineensis (African oil palm). RNAcentral describes it as "long non-coding RNA (EGUI_LNC052571)". The record is from RNAcentral. Lineage: Eukaryota; Viridiplantae; Streptophyta; Magnoliopsida; Arecales; Arecaceae.